Molecule: small RNA, 374 nt
Filed under: Rattus norvegicus (Norway rat)
Lineage: Eukaryota; Metazoa; Chordata; Mammalia; Rodentia; Muridae
Description: uncharacterized LOC102551386
Source: RNAcentral
GGUGACGGCUUUAGUUGAUAUUCUCCACACGCAUGCGCGCUUUGUCAUUCCAUAGGCUCACAGCCCUUACCUUAUCAGUCAUUGAAAUCGACCCAGUGUGUGGUUUCCAUCUCCUGACACCAUCUGUUCACUGAGAUGUGGUUGGAAAAGCCCUGUGAACAAGGUGACCUCAUAUAAAUGGAAUCAGCUUGUCAGGACAGUAGAUCUGGCUCAGCAGUGAGGGCGAGCACUGCUCUUUCAAAAGACCUGAUUUUGAGAUGCAGCUCCCAUGUCAGGUGGUACAGCUGUCUCUAACGCCAGCUCUAAUGCGAUCUGAUGCCUCUACCCUCCACAAGCACCCACAACCACAUACACAUACCCACACAGACACACAA